RNAcentral lists this ribosomal RNA (499 nucleotides) under uncultured bacterium. Its description in RNAcentral is "partial 16S ribosomal RNA". It matches the Rfam family "Bacterial small subunit ribosomal RNA", at positions 30 to 523 of the family's 1533-position model. The record is from RNAcentral.
AUUGAACGCUGGCGGAAUGCUUUACACAUGCAAGUCGAACGGCAGCACGGACUUCGGUCUGGUGGCGAGUGGCGAACGGGUGAGUAAUGUAUCGGAACGUGCCCAGUCGUGGGGGAUAACGUAGUGAAAAUUACGCUAAUACCGCAUACGAUCUAUGGAUGAAAGCGGGGGAUCGCAAGACCCCGCGCGAUUGGAGCGGCCGAUAUCAGAUUAGGUAGUUGGUGGGGUAAAGGCCCACCAAGCCAACGAUCUGUAGCUGGUCUGAGAGGACGACCAGCCACACUGGAACUGAGACACGGUCCAGACUCCUACGGGAGGCAGCAGUGGGGAAUUUUGGACAAUGGGCGAAAGCCUGAUCCAGCCAUUCCGCGUGCAGGAUGAAGGCCCUCGGGUUGUAAACUGCUUUUGUACAGAACGAAAAGGUUUCUACUAAUACUAGGAGCUCAUGACGGUACUGUAAGAAUAAGCACCGGCUAACUACGUGCAGCAGCCGCGGUAA